This 29-nucleotide non-coding RNA is filed under the name Homo sapiens (human). The record is from RNAcentral. Lineage: Eukaryota; Metazoa; Chordata; Mammalia; Primates; Hominidae.
UGACUUCUCUAAUGGGGACGGUAAUGCCU